UGUUCUGUGUAUGGCACUGGUAGAAUUCACUGUGAACAGUCUCAGUCAGUGAAUUACCGAAGGGCCAUAAACAGAGCAGA
Molecule: non-coding RNA, 80 nt
Organism: Cricetulus griseus (Chinese hamster)
Lineage: Eukaryota; Metazoa; Chordata; Mammalia; Rodentia; Cricetidae
Gene: Mir183
Product: microRNA mir-183
Source: RefSeq, marked provisional